UUAUGAUGAGGGGGGUAAUGGUACCGAAGGAUUAUCUAUUUUCUCAAUGCCUGGCCGACCAUUAGGUAAGGGCGUGAUAGACACAAUGGAUGAUGGCACAAAAGAAAAGGCACAUCGAUAUGUGCUAUUUAAUUGUGAGACAGUCAACAAAUUUAUUGAACAACACCGUAGACUUGUUUCCAUACAAAAUCCACGUCUUCGUGAAAUGGCCAUUGAUCGCAUUCAUAGUGAAACAUUUCCAACAUGGUUUGAUAAACAUGUUGAGGAAUUGCAUAAUGCAGGGGAUAGUCAAAUAACUGAAAA
Camellia sinensis is the source of this 303-nucleotide non-coding RNA. The record is from RefSeq and is a predicted model, not a curated record. NCBI's taxonomy places the organism in Eukaryota, Viridiplantae, Streptophyta, Magnoliopsida, Ericales, Theaceae.